This 716-nucleotide ribosomal RNA is filed under the name Lentinus brumalis. Its description in RNAcentral is "partial large subunit ribosomal RNA". It matches the Rfam family "Eukaryotic large subunit ribosomal RNA", at positions 77 to 778 of the family's 3401-position model. Lineage: Eukaryota; Fungi; Basidiomycota; Agaricomycetes; Polyporales; Polyporaceae. The record is from RNAcentral.
CCCCUAGUAACUGCGAGUGAAGCGGGAAAAGCUCAAAUUUAAAAUCUGGCGGUCUUUGGCCGUCCGAGUUGUAGUCUGGAGAAGUGCUUUCCGCGCUGGACCGUGUAUAAGUCUCUUGGAACAGAGCGUCAUAGAGGGUGAGAAUCCCGUCUUUGACACGGACUACCAGUGCUUUGUGAUGCGCUCUCAAAGAGUCGAGUUGUUUGGGAAUGCAGCUCAAAAUGGGUGGUGAAUUCCAUCUAAAGCUAAAUAUUGGCGAGAGACCGAUAGCGAACAAGUACCGUGAGGGAAAGAUGAAAAGCACUUUGGAAAGAGAGUUAAACAGUACGUGAAAUUGCUGAAAGGGAAACGCUUGAAGUCAGUCGCGUUUGCCGGAACUCAGCCUUCCUUUUGGUUGGUGCACUUUCCGGUAGACGGGCCAGCAUCGAUUUCGACCGUCGGAUAAGGGCUGGGGAAAUGUGGCACCUUUCGGGGUGUGUUAUAGUCCUCAGUCGCAUACGUCGGUUGGGAUCGAGGAUCGCAGCGCGCCGCAAGGCAGGGGUUCGCCCACUUUCGCGCUUAGGAUGCUGGCAUAAUGGCUUUAAACGACCCGUCUUGAAACACGGACCAAGGAGUCUAACAAACCUGCGAGUGUUUGGGUGGAAAACCCGAGCGCGUAAUGAAAGUGAAAGUUGAGACCUCUGUCGUGGAGGGCAUCGACGCCCGGACCUGAAGUU